This 125-nucleotide small RNA is filed under the name Marmota monax (woodchuck). The record is from RNAcentral. Lineage: Eukaryota; Metazoa; Chordata; Mammalia; Rodentia; Sciuridae.
GCCGGGUGCAGUGGCAUACACCUGUAAUCCCAGUGGCUCAGGAAGCUGAGGCAGGAGGAUCAUGAGUUCAAAGCCAGCCUCCGCAAUGGGGAGGUGCUUAGCAACUCAGUGAGACCCUGUCUCUA